RNAcentral lists this ribosomal RNA (428 nucleotides) under Trifolium occidentale. RNAcentral describes it as "eukaryotic LSU rRNA". The stretch from base 312 to 428 matches the Rfam family "Eukaryotic large subunit ribosomal RNA", at positions 1 to 117 of the family's 3401-position model. The record is from RNAcentral. Lineage: Eukaryota; Viridiplantae; Streptophyta; Magnoliopsida; Fabales; Fabaceae.
UGCAGAAUCCCGUGAACCAUCGAGUCUUUGAACGCAAGUUGCGCCCGAUGCCAUUAGGUUGAGGGCACGUCUGCCUGGGCGUCACAUAUCGAAGCCUCUCGCCAAUUUCCUAUAUUGAUAGGGGUAUUGUGCAGGGCGAAUGUUGGCCUCCCGUGAGCUCUAUUGCCUCAUGGUUGGUUGAAAAUCGAGACCUUGGUAGGGUGUGCCAUGAUAGGUGGUGGCUGUGUUACGCACGAGACCAAGUAAGUCAUGUGCUGCUCUAUUGAAUUUAGGCCUCUUUUACCCACAUGCGUUUCGAAACGCUCGUGAUGAGACCUCAGGUCAGGCGGGGCUACCCGCUGAAUUUAAGCAUAUCAAUAAGCGGAGGAAAAGAAACUAACAAGGAUUCCCUUAGUAACGGCGAGCGAACCGGGAUAAGCCCACCAUGA